AAAAAAAAAAGUAGCCGAGAGUGGUGGACCUCUUCUGUGGUCCCAGCUACUUGGGAGGCUGAGGCGGGAGGAUCGCUUAAGCCCAGCAGGUUGGGGCUGCAGUGAACCAAGAUCAAGCUGCUUCUCUCCUGCCUCGGCAUUAGAGUGAGACCCUGGCUCAUAGUAAAAUAAAUAAAUAGAAGCUAAUCUAGAAGCUGAUGCUGGCCCUGCCCUUGGUGCUCACCACGGACCUGGCAGGCCUGGCGCCUCUCCUGUGCGUGGGGCGGCCUCACCCCGUGACUGGCGCUCUCUUUUCCAGGAUCAUCCAGCAGCUCGUCAACGGCAUCAUCACGCCCGCCACCAUCCCCAGCCUGGGCCCCUGGGGAGUCCUGCACUCAAACCCUAUGGACUACGCCUGGGGGGCCAACGGCCUGGAUGCCAUCAUCACACAGGUACAGCGUGGCCACGGCCCAGAGUGCCUGCUGGGGGAGGGCUGGGCUGCCCACCCCUGGGAGCUGCCCCACUGCCUGGACCCACGAAGCCCCACAAAGGUCAAAGGGGAUGCGGGCACAGCCUCCACGCUCUGGCGGGCACAGGGGGCAGCUCCGGCCUUCCUCCUGCCAUUUCUGAGUCUUGGCAACUUUGGGGGUUCUCCUGUGUUCACGCGGAACGUUGUAGCAAAACCGCGGGGAGGACUCGCCCACAGUCACAUGGUCAGGAGGCCACGCGGUCCCUCUUCCCGAGAGGUCGCGCCCUGACCUGCUUCCAAGUGCCACCCGUCUCAGCCUUGCUGAGGAGCCCUUGGAGCAUUUUGUCACUGGCAGGACCCGACCCUCACAGUAGCCCACCAGCCGGAGCACGGCCCCCCCAUUCCGCCGUCAGGGCACUCAGGAGCGCGGCCCCCCCCCCCAUUCCGCUGUCAGGGACCCAGGAGCGCGGGCCUCCGCCCAUUCCCCCAUUCCACCGUCAGGGGACCCAGGAGCGGGGGGGCCGCGUGGGCUCCACAGUGAUCUCCGACCCCGGGCGGGCUCCAAGGGGCCCAGGGCCCAGGACAAACGCGGCCUCGGUGCUUUUGCAGGUCCUGCAGCCUCGCGUUUCAGAGCCCCGGGCCGGGCCCCCGAGGAGCUCCCGGCACUCUCGCCUCUUGUCUUUCAGCUCCUCAAUCAGUUUGAAAACACAGGCCCCCCACCGGCAGAUAAAGAGAAAAUCCAGGCCCUCCCCACCGUCCCCGUCACUGAGGAGCACGUAGGCUCCGGGCUCGAGUGCCCUGUGUGCAAGGACGACUACGCGCUGGGUGAGCGUGUGCGGCAGCUGCCCUGCAACCACCUGUUCCACGACGGCUGCAUCGUGCCCUGGCUGGAGCAGCACGACAGCUGCCCCGUCUGCCGAAAAAGCCUCACGGGACAGAACACGGCCACGAACCCCCCUGGCCUCACUGGGGUGAGCUUCUCCUCCUCGUCGUCAUCGUCCUCCUCCAGCUCGCCCAGCAACGAGAACGCCACAAGCAACUCGUGAGCCCACGUCGGCCGUCGGGAAAGCACGGGGCCUUUCCCACCCACCCUCAGCCAGCGCCACACGGCACCCACAGACUGGGUGCCCCGGCGGCGCCACGCUUGGCUGGUCAGCGCUGCAGGUCCCGCCUGUUCCAGGGCAGGACCCGGGCCCGGCCCACCGGCCCCCUGGCUUGGGAAGGCGUGGGCCACAUGGUCCCCUCUGGGGCGUCCCCAGCCUCCCCGUCCUCUGUCUAACCUCACCCUCUAAACGUUCAGCGGUGGAAAGAUUUUUAUAAUUUUAAAUUAUUACUGCUUUGAAAUAAACGGACGUUUGAGCUCACGUGGCGGCCAUGCAUGGUUUGUGGCGGAAGACGGGGCCCAGCGGCUCCCCCAGCGCUGAAGCACGGGGUUCAGCGGCUCCCCCAGUGCUGCAGGUGCCGCCAGGACGGGCCACGUGGGCCCCCAGCCUCCCCCUCGGCCGCCUCCACGACCCGGAGUAGGGGGGCUCGGGACCAUGAGGAUGACCAGCAAAAUUCAAGAACAAAACUGCUCCAACAGACUUUUUUAAAGGAAAAAAUAUGUGUAUCUUGAAAGCUAUUUAAAAUACACUACUUACAAAG
Molecule: long non-coding RNA, 2092 nt
Filed under: Homo sapiens (human)
Lineage: Eukaryota; Metazoa; Chordata; Mammalia; Primates; Hominidae
Description: non-protein coding lnc-POLRMT-7:1
Source: RNAcentral